Molecule: long non-coding RNA, 2996 nt
Filed under: Citrus x clementina
Lineage: Eukaryota; Viridiplantae; Streptophyta; Magnoliopsida; Sapindales; Rutaceae
Description: Citrus clementina (C. clementina) long non-coding RNA (CCLE_LNC003939)
Source: RNAcentral
UUUAACUUUAUUAACUUAAAUUAACAUAGUUAUAUCCAAUAUUGUAUCAAGCAAAAGGUACUUUUGUAUAUAAUCCAAUCUAAUUUAAAUCUAAAAGUUAAUCCAUCUAAAUGCAGCCUUAAUGAUACAAUAAUGAUGCACAUUUAAACUACUACUUUACAAACUUCCUUGCGUAGUAUGGGUGUGACACAUGGCGUUAAAUGGGAAAAAAGUUCCAAAGCGUGAAGUAAAAGGCCCUUGUGUCUAUAAUCAAACCCCCAUAAUAACCAAAGCUUGUGACAAUUAUAAACAACAAUAAUUGUAAAGUAGCCUUUCGCUAAAUAAUUAAAUGAAACUUCAAUAGACACGCAUUUAGAAAGUGAACCAAGAUGAUAAUCCAAACCAUUAAUGUUUCAUACAAGGGUAUCCCAUUAACAUGAAUCCCGUGACCGCAUUGAAUGAACACAGAACAAUGAUAUGAUAUCUAGCCAGUACUGUACUCAUAAUUAAUGGACAACAUUAAUUGGUUUUCUCGACCUUCCGGGUCAUCACUCUGAGGCACUGAAUUCAAACUUAGGCUCCUUUAACAGUUACUUUAUUCAAGUGCCGGCAGAAAUAGAUGAAGGCGAUCCCAAAGUAAAUGCUAUGAAGUUGAAAGCUUCCCAUAUUUUCUCCGAGACUAGUGCAUAUGGUCUAAUUACUUUCCCUGUGACUAUACAAUUUGGUUCUCUUUUUACCUGGUUUGGCACCGGCAGGCGUUUGCUUUCGUAAAUUUUUAAAGAGAUUGGGAAAAGGUUUCUGGUAUUCACAUUGAAACGUUCCUGUUUGGUUAUAAAGAAUCCGUGAGUUAUAUUAAUGCAAGAAAAGUCUUUAAGUUUAAAAGCCACAAAUAACAAUCUCCAUCUCCAUGCUAAUAUGCCUACCCGCAGAUAGAUAGGGAAUUGUUGCCAUUUCAAAAUUUGGUACUUGCUGCAAGGACUGCUUGUACAUGUUCGUUCAAUGGAACUACAUGUAAGUUAUGGUUGGAGCUUUUUAAUUGUAAAUCAAAACAUGGUUUCUGUUUGAUGAAGAUAGGAAUUAGCAUGAGGAGCCUCGUGGUGAGUUUCAACAUACAAUAAAAUAAUCUAGGCAACAUUAAUCAAGAUCAAAACUAUAUACUGAUCUUUUUUUUUUUAAAGAGUAGGAAGAACAAGUACUAAAGAGUUGCAUAGUGGAAUUAAAUGCAAGCCAAAAUAAUAAUAAUAAUAAUAAUAAUAAUAAUAAUAAUAAUAAUAAUAAUAAUAAUAAUAGUAAUAAAAGCCGACUCCUAUUGAUUGGUAUUUUAAAAGAUUGAAGAUCGAAAGGAGUGUGGCAUGAGAUUUUAGAGGGUCAGAUAUUUUAUUUUAAUUUUUCAACAAUUUGGGUGACAAACCAAGGUUCUUGAGUAUUUGAUAAACACUUGCAAUUUUGUUUUGAUAGAUAAUCAUUUAUUAAAAAAUAAGUUUGGAAAAUAAUAAUAAAUAAUUUUUACUUAACAGUUAACAGUGUUAGCAUCGAUCCAUUUUCCUUGACAAUUAGAAGUAUUAUCCUAUGACAAUUGUGGCUUAAAAAUCAUGAUAAUAGAGCCCUAGAACAUUAAACGUCUACUUUUCAGGCGAAUAGCAACUUUAUUUGUGAUUCUAUUUAUUUAUUUAUUUUUAAAAUGUUAUAAUUUAAAUACAUACAAUGUGAAGUCAAGCGAAAGUCUAAAUAUAUAUAAUUUUUUGUGCGUAAUCCACAAGUCUACCAAACAUUAACUUGAAAAUCUGAGAUAUCUAUCCCUAUAAAAUCUCAAGGCCAGAUAAGGGCUUGAGCCCAACCCUCAAGAUAUGGAACCUUAUUGUUCAAUUACUUGCUCUAGAUCAUGUUGACCUUUCCUUUCUCUCUUUUAAGUACUUGGCAAUGCUAUUUUGACAUUUCCUCUGCAGAUUUUAUUUUACUGCUAUUAAAAGAAUUACAGCAUCAGUAGUAGAAUUAUUGUAAACCAUUUUAUACUAAAUGAAACAUAUGCAGCCUUGAUUUUUUUUUUUUUUUGUUUUAAAGAAUAGUUACCAGUUACCCAAGUUACACGUAAUUCCUUAAUCUUGAAUUUUUAUAUAUAAACAAAAAAAAUAUUUCUAAUCAUUAAUUCACUAUAGAAGAUAAAAAAAAAUAUCGAUUUUUUUUAAUGAGGGCAUAUAUAGUAAACGAAAUCAUUAUAAAAUUAUGCCAUAAGACUCUAAAUUAGAGCUUUUCUUUUUAAAAGAGACUUAAAAUUGGAUGCAUUUUAUAUGCAUUAUUUAGAUGUACCAUUUCAUUUUGUUGUUCACAAUACUAGUCUUGAAAUUGUAAAAUAUUAAUAUGCAAAAUUUUACACGAAUUAAACACCUUAAAAAUAUCUCAUCAAUUUAUAAUAAAUGGUUUGUGAAUUGAAUCACAAAGUUGUUAAUACUGCCCAUAAAUAAACAUUUUUUAAAAGUUAUUUUGAUGUAAUUUUAGACAUAGUAUAUGGUGAAUGAUAUAAUAAAAAAUAUUAAAAUAGGAAGAAAAUUAUAAAAUCACACACAAUGAAAAUUAGGGAAUUGUGUAAUGAUAACUAUGUUCAGAAAAAUACAUAAUCGUCCAUUUAAAAGAUCGAAAAAGAUUCGAAAUCAUUUUGAGAUUUGAGAAGAAUGUAAUAAUAAUGGAAAUAAAAUGAACAUAAAGAUGGCUUUAAUCUUUAUUAAUUAAUCAAAUUCUCAAAAUGCCAUAUCAAUUAUUUAUUCAUUAAUUUGAAAGAUUUCUUUCUAAAUAAUUCAUUGGUAGAAAUUGAGCAUUUGUGCUUAUCAAAAAAUUUAAUGAGUUUAUAUUUUUCAUCACUUGUAAUAUAAAACAUUAUCUAUGAAGAUUAUUUUGUUUAUUUUUCACUAAACAUGUAAAUUAUUUUGUUACAAAAUUUAUAUCAAUCAAGAAAUGUAAUUAAAUUGAAGUGAUAUAAGAUAAAAAUACAAUUGGUUUGUGAGCAAUGAAAUUUAUUUAUG